GACAGAAAAAGAGAUACCGAGAGAGACAGCGGGAGAAACUACCUCGAGAAGUCUGAUGAGAAUCUGAGCUGAGACUACUUACUAGGCCAAAGAAAAAGACUCACUCUGGAUGAAGACUUUUUCUGAGUAGGACCAAUCAGCACUUCGAACAGGUUUCAAAGAUUUCCCGUAAGACACCUUUGCCAGGACAAAAAUGAAACCUUUUAUUUUAUGUAAAGGACCAGCCAAAGUGAGAAAAGACAGACAAACACACUGACAGAACAGCCAGAAUAUACAUACAGACAAACACGUAGAGGAGCAACGGACAGGACAGAUAGACGCACAUGCAGAGGAGCAACAUAAAGGACAGAUUGAAGAACAUACAGAGGA
Long non-coding RNA from Eleginops maclovinus (Patagonian blennie), 369 nucleotides. RefSeq lists it as uncharacterized. The transcript has 3 exons. The record is from RefSeq and is a predicted model, not a curated record. NCBI's taxonomy places the organism in Eukaryota, Metazoa, Chordata, Actinopteri, Perciformes, Eleginopidae.